AUUGAACGCUGGCGGCAGGCCUAACACAUGCAAGUCGAGCGGUAGAGAGGUGCUUGCAUCUCUUGAGAGCGGCGGACGGGUGAGUAAUGCCUAGGAAUCUGCCUAGUGGUGGGGGAUAACGUUCGGAAACGGACGCUAAUACCGCAUACGUCCUACGGGAGAAAGCGGGGGAUCUUCGGACCUCGCGCCAUUAGAUGAGCCUAGGUCGGAUUAGCUAGUUGGUGAGGUAAUGGCUCACCAAGGCGACGAUCCGUAACUGGUCUGAGAGGAUGAUCAGCCACACUGGGACUGAGACACGGCCCAGACUCCUACGGGAGGCAGCAGUGGGGAAUAUUGGACAAUGGGCGAAAGCCUGAUCCAGCCAUGCCGCGUGUGUGAAGAAGGUCUUCGGAUUGUAAACUGCUUUGUACGGACGAAAGGUUUCUAUUAAUACUAGGAGCUCAUGACGGUACCGUAAGAAUAAGCACCGGCUAACUAACGUGCCAGCA
This 488-nucleotide ribosomal RNA is filed under the name uncultured bacterium. Its description in RNAcentral is "bacterial SSU rRNA". It matches the Rfam family "Bacterial small subunit ribosomal RNA", at positions 30 to 513 of the family's 1533-position model. The record is from RNAcentral.